UGGCUCAGUGGUAGAGUGCUUGCCUUACAUGCAUGAGGCCCUGGGUUCGAUUCCCCAG
Dipodomys ordii (Ord's kangaroo rat) is the source of this 58-nucleotide non-coding RNA. NCBI's taxonomy places the organism in Eukaryota, Metazoa, Chordata, Mammalia, Rodentia, Heteromyidae. The record is from Rfam.